UGGGGAAUAUUGCACAAUGGGCGAAAGCCUGAUGCAGCAACGCCGCGUGAGUGAUGAAGGCCUUCGGGUUGUAAAGCUCUUUCGACCGGAACGAUAAUGACGGUACCGGGAGAAGAAGCUGCGGCUAACUACGUGCCAGCAGCCGCGGUAAUACGUAGGCAGCAAGCGUUGUUCGGAGUUACUGGGCGUAAAGAGUGCGUAGGCGGUUUUCUAAGUUCGGUGUGAAAUCUCCCGGCUUAACUGGGAGGGUGCGCCGAAGACUGGGAAGCUGGAGUGUGGGAAAGGCAGGCGGAAUGCCUGGUGUAGCGGUGAAAUGCGUAGAUAUCAGGAGGAACACCGGCGGUGUAGACGGCUUGCUAGACCAUAACUGACGCUGAGGCACGAAAGCGUGGGUAGCAAACA
RNAcentral lists this ribosomal RNA (402 nucleotides) under uncultured bacterium. Its description in RNAcentral is "bacterial SSU rRNA". It matches the Rfam family "Bacterial small subunit ribosomal RNA", at positions 355 to 774 of the family's 1533-position model. The record is from RNAcentral.